CGGGGCGUAGCGCAGACUGGUAGCGCGCUUGCUUGGGGUGCAAGAGGUCGGGGGUUCAAAUCCCCCCGCCCCGACCA
RNAcentral lists this transfer RNA (77 nucleotides) under Planctomycetota bacterium. RNAcentral describes it as "tRNA-Pro". It matches the Rfam family "tRNA". Rfam says of the family: Transfer RNA (tRNA) molecules are approximately 80 nucleotides in length. Their secondary structure includes four short double-helical elements and three loops (D, anti-codon, and T loops). Lineage: Bacteria; Pseudomonadati; Planctomycetota. The record is from RNAcentral.